Molecule: ribosomal RNA, 780 nt
Filed under: Peribacillus simplex
Lineage: Bacteria; Bacillati; Bacillota; Bacilli; Caryophanales; Bacillaceae
Description: bacterial SSU rRNA
Rfam family: Bacterial small subunit ribosomal RNA
Source: RNAcentral
UGCUAUAAUGCAAGUCGAGCGAAUCGAUGGGAGCUUGCUCCCUGAGAUUAGCGGCGGACGGGUGAGUAACACGUGGGCAACCUGCCUAUAAGACUGGGAUAACUUCGGGAAACCGGAGCUAAUACCGGAUACGUUCUUUUCUCGCAUGAGAGAAGAUGGAAAGACGGUUUCGGCUGUCACUUAUAGAUGGGCCCGCGGCGCAUUAGCUAGUUGGUGAGGUAAUGGCUCACCAAGGCGACGAUGCGUAGCCGACCUGAGAGGGUGAUCGGCCACACUGGGACUGAGACACGGCCCAGACUCCUACGGGAGGCAGCAGUAGGGAAUCUUCCGCAAUGGACGAAAGUCUGACGGAGCAACGCCGCGUGAACGAAGAAGGCCUUCGGGUCGUAAAGUUCUGUUGUUAGGGAAGAACAAGUACCAGAGUAACUGCUGGUACCUUGACGGUACCUAACCAGAAAGCCACGGCUAACUACGUGCCAGCAGCCGCGGUAAUACGUAGGUGGCAAGCGUUGUCCGGAAUUAUUGGGCGUAAAGCGCGCGCAGGUGGUUCCUUAAGUCUGAUGUGAAAGCCCACGGCUCAACCGUGGAGGGUCAUUGGAAACUGGGGAACUUGAGUGCAGAAGAGGGAAAGUGGAAUUCCAAGUGUAGCGGUGAAAUGCGUAAGAUUUGGAGGAACACCAGUGGCGAAGGCGACUUUCUGGUCUGUAACUGACACUGAGGCGCGAAAGCGUGGGGGAGCAAACAGGAUUAAUACCCUGGUAGUCCACGCCGUAAACGAUG